RNAcentral lists this ribosomal RNA (765 nucleotides) under uncultured bacterium. RNAcentral's name for it is "bacterial SSU rRNA". It matches the Rfam family "Bacterial small subunit ribosomal RNA", at positions 8 to 769 of the family's 1533-position model. The record is from RNAcentral.
AGAGUUUGAUCCUGGCUCAGAUUGAACGCUGGCGGCAUGCCUAACACAUGCAAGUCGAACGCGAAAGGGGCUUGCCCUGAGUAGAGUGGCGGACGGGUGAGUAACGCGUAGGAAUCUACCCAAUAGUGGGGGAUAACCCGGCGAAAGCCGGGCUAAUACCGCAUAUGCCCCAAGGGGCAAAGCAGGGGAUCUUCGGACCCUUGCGCUAAUGGAUGAGCCAUGCGUCGGAUUAGCUAGUUGGUGGGGUAAAGGCCUACCAAGGCGGCGAUCCGUAGCUGGUCUGAGAGGAUGAUCAGCCACACUGGGACUGAGACACGGCCCAGACUCCUACGGGAGGCAGCAGUGGGGAAUAUUGGACAAUGGGGGCAACCCUGAUCCAGCAAUGCCGCGUGUGUGAAGAAGGCCUUCGGGUUGUAAAGCACUUUCGGUAGGGAAGAAAAAAGCCUGGCUAAUAUCCAGGCUCUUGACGGUACCUAAAGAAGAAGCACCGGCUAACUCUGUGCCAGCAGCCGCGGUAAUACAGAGGGUGCAAGCGUUAAUCGGAAUUACUGGGCGUAAAGCGUGCGUAGGUGGUUUCGGUAAGUCAGAUGUGAAAGCCCUGGGCUCAACCUGGGAACGGCAUUUGAUACUGUCGAGCUAGAGUUUGGUAGAGGGAAGUGGAAUUCCACGUGUAGCGGUGAAAUGCGUAGAUAUGUGGAGGAACACCAGUGGCGAAGGCGGCUUCCUGGACUAAAACUGACACUGAGGCACGAAAGCGUGGGGAGA